Molecule: non-coding RNA, 75 nt
Organism: Candidatus Wildermuthbacteria bacterium
Lineage: Bacteria; Candidatus Wildermuthiibacteriota
Source: Rfam
GGCCCUGUCGUCUAGCCUGGUCUAGGACACAGGAUUUUCAUUCCUGGAACACGGGUUCGAAUCCCGUCGGGGCCG